GAGAAGAGGGCCACCGUCCUCCAGACCCCAGAAUGGUAGAUCCACUGACAGCUUGCACUGUGUGCCUGGAAGAGCUGCAGACACUCAAUGUCAGCCCAUAAAAGAGGACAGAAGGGAGGCUGUACUUGGCAAAGCCACAAGAUUGGAGCUGACCAAGACCAUGUGAACUCACCUCUUGCAUCGGUGUUACCUGGAUGUGAAGCCUGGAGUCAAAGAAGAUCAUUCUGGAGCUUUAAGAUUUGACUGCCCUGCUGGAUUUCAGGCUUGCAUGGGGCCUUUAGCCCCUCUGUUUUGGCCAAUUUCUCCCAUUUGGAAUGGAUGUAUUUAUCCAAUACAUGUACUCCCAUUAUAUCCAGAAAUAACUAACUUGCUUUUGAUUUUACAGGUUCAUAAAGCAGAAGGGACUUGCCUUGUCUCAAAUAAGACUUUGGACUGUGGACUUUUGAGUUAAUGCUGAAAUGAAAUAUUGCUUUUUUACAAAUGGAAUGUUCAUGGAACUCUGUGUACAGCAAGUCUGUUGUUGCCAUUUUUCCAACACCUGUGUUUACUUCCUGUCUCUGUGUCAGCAUUUUUUAGCAGUAAAGUAUUUUUAAAUUAAGGCUCCAGUUUUCUUUCCAUGAAAAAUAUCAGUUAUACUCAAAGUGAAAGGACUACCAAUGGCAGAGAAUUUCAAGACCUUGCUCUUCCUGUAAAACGUGC
Molecule: long non-coding RNA, 699 nt
Organism: Chlorocebus sabaeus (green monkey)
Lineage: Eukaryota; Metazoa; Chordata; Mammalia; Primates; Cercopithecidae
Source: RefSeq, a predicted model, not a curated record